Long non-coding RNA from Mirounga angustirostris (Northern elephant seal), 1985 nucleotides. RefSeq lists it as uncharacterized. The transcript is spliced from 6 exons. Lineage: Eukaryota; Metazoa; Chordata; Mammalia; Carnivora; Phocidae. The record is from RefSeq and is a predicted model, not a curated record.
GGGCUCCGCUCAAGCACGCCUAGGGUGUUGCUGGAGCCGAGGGCACUUAUUUCCGACGCUGUGAUGCUUGGGCGGCGUGACUGAUAAUUGUUGGGGAGCAGGGCGCUCCCAGGGCUUCCAGCGCAACUUUUCUGAGCGUCGUGUCGCAUUGUUGUUCAGGGACACCCAGGAACAGGUUUCCUAGGAUUCCAUCCUGGGACUCGGGAGAGAGCUAACCGUCCAGCCUCUGGACUUACCCUAUUCCAAGGCCACCUGUGAAGCCACCUGGCAAUCAAAAGCUUCGCAGGCCUUACGGGUGACUCUGCUGUCACUUCUAAAGCCCACACAGAAGCGGCUGCAACAAAGUACAGCAGGAUGUUCACUGGUGGCUUCUGAGUGGUGGGGUCCCAGGGAUUUUUAAUUUCCUUCUUUUUUGAUUAGUUACAGUUUCUCAGUUUUCUAUAACGGACAAUCUGGUGCUUUUUAAAUAAGAUAUAUUAUUCUAUGUUAUUCUAAAAUGAUUUUUUGAAAACGCCUGCAGAACUUCGGCAGCACCGUCCUGCAAUGUAAGCAGCGACCCCCCACCCCCCCUUUUUUUAGGCUUGCGGGAGAAAAUUUCUGGGGCCCGGACCAGGCUCCUCCUCCCUGGCUCCUUUCGGGCCGCCCCUUGACCACGCCCCCAUACCGACCCUUUUACUCCAGUACCGCCCUCUUCUCCUUUGGUUGCUGAGAAAACCCGGAAGGGUGGACUUUCAACACUGACGUUCCCGGUGGCUCCUAUGCCAGGCUGGGCCUGUUCCGCCGCCGGGUCAGGGACUGCUGACAAGGAGAGAGGCGUCUUUAAGCAACUCCCAGCCUCUCUCCUCCUGCUCUCGGUCCUUGGCAAACGGAACAAAGUAGCACCUCCGACCCCCUGCCAGGAGCUCGGACCUGCAAAGUGGGUCAGGACUCGACUGAGCAUGCUCCGGACAGUGCCAGAAUGCCGCACGCGGCUGCAUCUCGUUGCCCAAGGGAUCGGAUGCUGAAGUCAGAGACUCCACUGCCCUUUGCCCUAAUCAGCACAGUACGGCCUCCAAAGGCGGAGAGUCGUAGAUGUGUGGAUCAGGGUCAGGAGCAUUCUGGAUCAUUUUUCGGGCUGGCAGUGGAGCUGAAAGCCCAGUUCUGCCAUGCAAGGUAGUCUGUCUGCCAACCUAUAAGCCAUGAGAACAAGAACAAGAAGAGUCAAGGAGCGCAGUGUGAAUACCUCGCAUCCGGCUGAUGUGGCAAACAAACAGAUGGUUGAUAGAGCAGGGGCACGGCCCGCCCUCCCCAUGAUGGGAACCCAGAGAGGAGCCUCAUCCAGCCCCUUUUGCUGUUUCACGGGCCUCCACCAGCAGCCGCACUUGAUUUCAAGUUGGCAAAAGAAGAUUGACCCAGAGUCUUUGGAUGUAUACAGCCUCUGCUUGCAACAGUUUGUCCCCUGCUCUGACAUUCCAAUAGACGGCUACAUCUGGAUACUCCUACUGGAUUUCACUGUAUCCGUUUGUACCUGUACAACACUGAGUCAAGCCUGCAGCAAGCACAGGUCUGGAAGCUAUCACAGAUUUCAGGAUCCUCCCACCAGCUCCUUCAGGCAACAGUCAGUAAAGUCCUGAAGCUACUGUGAAUAACAAGCACCUAUCCCCAGGGUAGUGGAAUCAUCAGGUUCAUCUCAGUGUUCCUCCAGGCGCUGCGGCUUCCCAGGCUCACCUACGUAACUCCCACCGGUUGUCUUAAAAAUCAGGACUUGGGCUUGGAGCCAGCUAAUGUGAGCUCGGAGGUGAGAUUUUUUUGCUCAAGAACUUUAGCUGUUGGAAGAUGUGACAUCUCAUCCAGAUGUUAAAAAAAAUACUAACUAUGAAACCCAAGAGGACAUUAAAUAAUGUUAUAACUCAAAAAUGAACAAAUGCACCAAAAAAUAGAAUUGAUAUCUGGUGUUACUCUGAAGAGAAUAUUGUACUCACCAUAUCCAUCUGUUCUGGAGAAGC